AAAUUCAAAACUGGAUAAAUAAGGAAUAAUUUCAGCUCACAUUGCUUUUAUAUGUGGCGAAUAUUGAGACAUAUGUAGAAAACAAUCCCUAUGUAAAUAGAUUGUGCCAUUAUUCCAGUAGAAUUACUUUGUUUCUGCAAUGUAAUAAUUACUUGGGGUGGGCACAGUGAUGGGGAUGAUUAUAAUUAGCAUUUUUCAGCAUUGUGCCAUUUUAAAAGACCCUUGCCAAGCUGUUGGGGGAUAUAUUUCUAAGUACCAUCAACCUCAUGACAGAGAUGAGUAAGCUCAGGCAUAUGUGAAUUAACAGCACACUUACAGCAGAAAAAGUCACUGAAAGAAUUCAUCUGGGGAUUUCCCAACUCAAAUGUAAUAUUUUUUCCAUGCUUGAAACAAGUUAAUUACCUUUCAAGUUCAUUAACAACAUAAGUCUAUAAUUUGAAGGCUAUUCCAGCAUGUCUCUCUGUUUCUCACUGAACUCCUAUCUGCAGUUCACAGGAGGAUCCUCACUGUUGGUGGAUGCAGACUUGUCCCUGUUGCAGACCUGGCUGGUUGUGGAAGAGGAGCUGGGGACACCCACAGAAACAUCACUGACAGCACAGUGCUCUCCUUGGGAUGGAUUUGAAAGAAGAGGGAGGUGUAGUCUGAGGCAUGUUAAUUUGAGAAGAACUAGGAACUGUUACUCUUGAUCCAUACUUGAAAAGAAGGGACCCCACCAUUGCCAGCAUCCAGCAGGAAAUGCUUUUUUCAGGAAAUUCUGGCAUAAAAAUCAAGAUCAAGCCCAAAAGAUAAAAUUUCUCAACUCAGAAGUGGUCCUGAAGGGAAACAUGAUGAUGUGGACAAUAUUUAUACUGCACUUCGUACAUUGUGUCUGUUCUGGCAAAAGAGAGAAGCUUUGCCUCUCAAGGACUACCCAUAAAAAUGUUUCACCUGUAUACAGGUGACUUGAAAUUAAAACAAAAUGCCUCAUCAAAUAGAAGUAACACCAUCCCUUAUUGCCAGUGACUAAAUUCUGGUUGUUACAUCUCAGUUUGAAGUGCAUUGUAUUUUCACAGAAUCACAGAACUGUAGGGGUUGGAAGGGAUCUCAAAAAAUCAUCAGGUCCAACCCCCAUGCCAAAGCAGGUUCCUCAGAGCAGGCUGCCCAGGUAGGCGUCCAGACAGGCCUUGAAUAUCUCCAGAGAAGGAGACUCCACAACCUCCCUAGGCAGCCUGUUCCAAUGCUCCCUCACCCUCACUGUGAAGAAGUUCUUUCGCAUGUCAGUGAGGAACUUCCUGUGCUCUAACUUGCAGCCAUUGCCCCUUGUCCUAUCCCCACAAACCACUGAGAAGAGGUUGGCUGCGUCCUUCUGUCCCCCACUCCUGAGAUAUUUAUAUACACUGUGGAGAUCCCCUCUCAGCCUUCUCUUCUCCAGGCUGAACAGACCCAGGUCUCUC
RNAcentral lists this long non-coding RNA (1433 nucleotides) under Anas platyrhynchos platyrhynchos (common mallard). RNAcentral describes it as "lncRNA (ENSAPLG00000025720.1)". Lineage: Eukaryota; Metazoa; Chordata; Aves; Anseriformes; Anatidae. The record is from RNAcentral.